RNAcentral lists this ribosomal RNA (208 nucleotides) under Staphylococcus aureus. Its description in RNAcentral is "partial 23S ribosomal RNA". It matches the Rfam family "Bacterial large subunit ribosomal RNA", at positions 1582 to 1791 of the family's 2925-position model. Lineage: Bacteria; Bacillati; Bacillota; Bacilli; Caryophanales; Staphylococcaceae. The record is from RNAcentral.
GUCUUCGAGUCGUUGAUUUCACACUGCCGAGAAAAGCCUCUAGAUAGAAAAUAGGUGCCCGUACCGCAAACCGACACAGGCAGUCAAGAUGAGAAUUCUAAGGUGAGCGAGCGAACUCUCGUUAAGGAACUCGGCAAAAUGACCCCGUAACUUCGGGAGAAGGGGUGCUCUUUAGGGUUAACGCCCAGAAGAGCCGCAGCGAAUAGGC